CAGUCGCCGCGGGAAUACAGAGGGUGCGAGCGUUAAUCGGAUUUACUGGGCGUAAAGCGUGCGUAGGCGGCUUCUUAAGUCGGAUGUGAAAUCCCUGAGCUUAACUUAGGAAUUGCAUUCGAUACUGGGAAGCUAGAGUAUGGGAGAGGAUGGUAGAAUUCCAGGUGUAGCGGUGAAAUGCGUAGAGAUCUGGAGGAAUACCGAUGGCGUAGGCAGCCAUCUGGCCUAAUACUGACGCUGAGGUACGAAAGCAUGGGGAGCAAACAGGAUUAGAUACCCGCGUAGUCCCUGUCUCUUAUAC
RNAcentral lists this ribosomal RNA (301 nucleotides) under uncultured bacterium. RNAcentral describes it as "partial 16S ribosomal RNA". It matches the Rfam family "Bacterial small subunit ribosomal RNA", at positions 509 to 807 of the family's 1533-position model. The record is from RNAcentral.